Molecule: unclassified non-coding RNA, 200 nt
Filed under: soil metagenome
Description: partial contains internal transcribed spacer 2 and large subunit ribosomal RNA
Source: RNAcentral
CAAGCCGUGGAUUUGGACCGUGCCGUAGUUGGCUCGUCCUGAAAUGCAUUAGCUUGUGCUUAUUAGAGUGCUUGGCAUUGGUGUGAUAAUUAUCUGCGCUGUCGCCUUAUGCCUCUUCGGAAGUGCUGCUUCUAAUCGUCCGCAUGGACAACAUUUUAAACUUUGGCCUGAAAUCAGGUAGGACUACCCGCUGAACUUAA